RNAcentral lists this transfer RNA (64 nucleotides) under Anisakis berlandi. RNAcentral's name for it is "tRNA-Tyr". Lineage: Eukaryota; Metazoa; Nematoda; Chromadorea; Rhabditida; Anisakidae. The record is from RNAcentral.
AAAUGAAAAGACUAGUUUAUUUUUUAAAAUAUUAGAUUGUAAAUCUAAAGAAUUUUUUCUUUUG